RNAcentral lists this ribosomal RNA (878 nucleotides) under Pyricularia oryzae. Its description in RNAcentral is "bacterial SSU rRNA". It matches the Rfam family "Bacterial small subunit ribosomal RNA", at positions 56 to 933 of the family's 1533-position model. The record is from RNAcentral. Lineage: Eukaryota; Fungi; Ascomycota; Sordariomycetes; Magnaporthales; Pyriculariaceae.
UGCAUGUUGAACGGGAUGUAGUGAUACAUUCAGUAGUGAAUGGGUGAGUAACACGUACCUAACCUACCUUUAAGACUGGGAUAACUAUUGGAAACAAUAGCUAAUACCGGAUAUAGUUAUUUAUCGCAUGAUGAGUAAUAGAAAGGAGCUUCACAGCUUCACUUAAAAAUGGGGGUGCGGAACAUUAGUUAGUUGGUAGGGUAAUGGCCUACCAAGACGAUGAUGUUUAGCCGGGCCGAGAGGCUGUACGGCCACACUGGGACUGAGAUACGGCCCAGACUCCUACGGGAGGCAGCAGUAAGGAAUUUUCCACAAUGAGCGAAAGCUUGAUGGAGCGACACAGCGUGCAGGAUGAAGUUCUUCGGAAUGUAAACUGCUGUUAUAAGGGAAGAAAAAAUAGAAUAGGAAAUGAUUUUAUCUUGACGGUACCUUAUUAGAAAGCGACGGCAAACUAUGUGCCAGCAGCUGCGGUAAUACAUAGGUCGCAAGCGUUAUCCGGAAUUAUUGGGCGUAAAGCGUCCGUAGGUUUUUUGCUAAGUCUGGAGUUAAAUGCUGAAGCUCAACUUCAGUCCGCUUUGGAUACUGGCAAAAUAGAAUUAUAAAGAGGUUAGCGGAAUUCCUAGUGAAGCGGUGGAAUGCGUAGAUAUUAGGAAGAACACCAAUAGGCGAAGGCAGCUAACUGGUUAUAUAUUGACACUAAGGGACGAAAGAGUCGGGAGCAAACAGGAUUAGAUACCCUGGUAGUCCACGCCGUAAACGAUGAUCAUUAGUUGGUGGAAUAAUUUCACUAACGCAGCUAACGCGUUAAAUGAUCCGCCUGAGUAGUAUGCUCGCAAGAGUGAAACUUAAAGGAAUUGACGGGGGCCCGCACAAGCGGU